Molecule: long non-coding RNA, 1193 nt
Filed under: Monodelphis domestica (gray short-tailed opossum)
Lineage: Eukaryota; Metazoa; Chordata; Mammalia; Didelphimorphia; Didelphidae
Description: lncRNA (ENSMODG00000040090.1)
Source: RNAcentral
AGCAAAGCAUUGAACUUCUAAUCAGAAGAUAUGGGUGUGAACCCAACCUCUGAUAUUGACUAUGUUUGAUCCUGGAAAAGUCACUUACUUUCAGAGGCCUCAGUUUCCUCUUUGAUAAAAUAAGGAAGCAGGGUUAGAAUCAGGGCCUUGAUUCAUUUUUGUGAAAGAGCCUUCACUGAUACCUUGGUCAAAUCUAUGGGCUAUUUCUUAGGGGAAAAAAGUUUUUAAAUGCACAAAAUAGAAUAGUAGGAUUAUAUGUUGUUAAGUUAUGUGCGACUCUUUGUGACCCCAUUUGGGGUUUUCUUGGCAGAGAUACUCGAGUGGUUUGUCAUUUCCUUCUCUCAGCAUGUCCUUAUUUUACAGAUGAGGAACUAAUGCUGUGACUUGACCAAGAUUACACUGCUAGGAAGUGUCUGAGAUUGGAUUUGAACUCAUGUACUUCUGACUUCAGAUCCAGCAUUCUAUCCACUGACUAUUGGGUUAUAUAAGAUGACAUAUACUGUACAUGUGUGUGUAUAUGUAUAUGCAUAUGUGUAUAAAUUAUAUAUGAAACAAGUUCAUGAACCCAGUUUAAGAACCCUUGGAUUAAAUGAUACCUAAAGGUCUAUUCUGGCAAUAAAAUUUAUUACCAAUUCUGCAACUGGACAAUGCUGCUAUCUUGUGGUCAUAAAGUAGAACGCAGAGGACUCUAAAGGGGUCCCAGUGUUGGAUUGUAGAAAGGAUGUCACCAUUCUGUGGCUGCAUCUGGGAAGUCUGACUUCAAAUUUCACGUUUUAUUUAUUUACAUUUCAAAUUGCUACAGUACAUUUGGACCCCAAAGUCAAGCAACACUCAUCCAACUCUCACUGCAAAUGCCAUCACCAAAAACAUUUGUAACAGACAGGGGAAUUACAUCUUCUAACUUUAAUUUAUGAUGCUAACAUUGGCUUUUCUUUUGGACAAGGGUUUGUUGCUGCUCUCUUCUUUUGGUCACUGAGCAUAGCACUCCUUUGGCUGAGUUCUCUUCACUCAUUUCUUCCUCUGGAUGUGGAUAGUGUUCUUUCUCAUAAGGCCCUCAGAAUUGUCCUGGAUCAUUGCAUUGCCACUAAUGGAGAAGUCCAUUACAAUCAAUCUACAUCUAAUUUCUACCAAAACUGUUUCCCAGUUUUCCCAGCAAUUUUGGUCCUAAAGUGAGUCCUUACCCUGGUAUUUGA